RNAcentral lists this transfer RNA (56 nucleotides) under Ogataea angusta. RNAcentral's name for it is "partial transfer RNA". It matches the Rfam family "tRNA", at positions 6 to 59 of the family's 71-position model. From Rfam's summary of the family: Transfer RNA (tRNA) molecules are approximately 80 nucleotides in length. Lineage: Eukaryota; Fungi; Ascomycota; Pichiomycetes; Pichiales; Pichiaceae. The record is from RNAcentral.
UAUGGCCAAGUUGGUAAGGCGCCACACUAGUAAUGUGGAGAUCCUCAGUUCAAAUC